UUUAUUUACUUAUUUGUAGGCUGGGACAGUGACAUGUCUGCCAUCUUGCUGCUGCUACAUCUGCUACCACCAUCUGCACAAGGUAGAAAGAGGCCGGGAAGCUUUCUGCGUAUCAAGCUGUAGAUCAGCUCAUCAGAUUUCAAAAGGUUGGAACCAGUGUGCAGCAGCAUCUAGACAACAUUACCCAAAGCAGUCAGCCCUACCUUCUCGCCCAGGGAUCCACACAGAGCACCAUUCACUCCUACUUCAUUGUGGUUGACAAGCAUGCACUUCCAUGCAAGGCAACAGGCAAUGGAUCUGCUGCAUGCUAUGACUCCUGACACUGUGGUCAUCACUACCAUACACAGACCUUCUCUCUCCUCUGGGAGAUCAAAAUCUAGUGGCACUGGGGAGCC
Long non-coding RNA from Silurus meridionalis, 395 nucleotides. RefSeq lists it as uncharacterized. The transcript is spliced from 3 exons. NCBI's taxonomy places the organism in Eukaryota, Metazoa, Chordata, Actinopteri, Siluriformes, Siluridae. The record is from RefSeq and is a predicted model, not a curated record.